GGGGCUGCUAAGGUUUCUCCCGUUCGCCGGUCACGGUCGGACGGGUUUGGGGCUGUAGCGCAGUUGGUAGCGCGUCUCGUUCGCAUCGAGAAGGUCAGGGGUUCGAUUCCCCUCAGCUCCACCA
RNAcentral lists this transfer-messenger RNA (124 nucleotides) under Pseudonocardia bannensis. Its description in RNAcentral is "Pseudonocardia sp. YIM 63101 transfer-messenger RNA". The stretch from base 49 to 121 matches the Rfam family "tRNA". Rfam says of the family: Transfer RNA (tRNA) molecules are approximately 80 nucleotides in length. Their secondary structure includes four short double-helical elements and three loops (D, anti-codon, and T loops). Lineage: Bacteria; Bacillati; Actinomycetota; Actinomycetes; Pseudonocardiales; Pseudonocardiaceae. RNAcentral also lists the same sequence under 1 other name. The record is from Rfam by way of RNAcentral.